RNAcentral lists this microRNA (19 nucleotides) under Schistosoma mansoni. Its description in RNAcentral is "sma-miR-8454-5p". The record is from miRBase by way of RNAcentral. Lineage: Eukaryota; Metazoa; Platyhelminthes; Trematoda; Strigeidida; Schistosomatidae.
AUGGAACUAAUUACCUAAG